This 518-nucleotide ribosomal RNA is filed under the name uncultured bacterium. RNAcentral describes it as "bacterial SSU rRNA". It matches the Rfam family "Bacterial small subunit ribosomal RNA", at positions 26 to 518 of the family's 1533-position model. The record is from RNAcentral.
AGGACGAACGCUGGCGGCGUGCCUAAUACAUGCAAGUCGAACGGUCUUUCUAUGGAAGCUUGCUCCACUGAGAAGAUAGUGGCGGACGGGUGAGUAACACGUGGGUAACCUGCCCAUAAGAGGGGGAUAACAUCCGGAAACGGGUGCUAAUACCGCAUAGUUUUCUUGAUCGCAUGAUCGGGAAAGGAAAGACGGCCUUUGUGCUGUCGCUUAUGGAUGGACCCGCGGCGUAUUAGUUAGUUGGUGAGGUAACGGCUCACCAAGACGAUGAUACGUAGCCGACCUGAGAGGGUGAUCGGCCACAUUGGGACUGAGACACGGCCCAAACUCCCACGGGAGGCAGCAGUAGGGAAUCUUCCGCAAUGGACGAAAGUCUGACGGAGCAACGCCGCGUGAGUGAAGAAAGGUUUUCGGAUCGUAAAACUCUGUUGUCAGAGAAGAACAAGUUGGAGAGUAACUGCUCCAGCCUUGACGGUAUCUGACCAGAAAGCCACGGCUAACUACGUGCCAGCCGCCGC